UGGGGAAUUUUGGACAAUGGGCGAAAGCCUGAUCCAGCAAUGCCGCGUGUGUGAAGAAGGCCUUCGGGUUGUAAAGCACUUUUGUCCGGAAAGAAAUCCUUGGCUCUAAUACAGUCGGGGGAUGACGGUACCGGAAGAAUAAGCACCGGCUAACUACGUGCCAGCAGCCGCGGUAAUACGUAGGGUGCAAGCGUUAAUCGGAAUUACUGGGCGUAAAGCGUGCGCAGGCGGUUUGCUAAGACCGAUGUGAAAUCCCCGGGCUCAACCUGGGAACUGCAUUGGUGACUGGCAGGCUAGAGUAUGGCAGAGGGGGGUAGAAUUCCACGUGUAGCAGUGAAAAUGCGUAGAGAUGUGGAGGAAUACCGAUGGCGAAGGCAGCCCCCUGGGCCAAUACUGACGCUCAUGCACGAAAGCGUGGGGAGCAAAACAGGAUUAGAUACCCUGGUAGUCCACGCCCUAAAACGAUGUCAACUAGUUGUUGGGGAUUCAUUUCCUUAGUAACGUAGCUAACGCGUGAAGUUGACCGCCUGGGGAGUACGGUCGCAAGAUUAAAACUUAAAGGAAUUGACGGGGUCAUAGCUGUUUCCU
Molecule: ribosomal RNA, 588 nt
Filed under: uncultured bacterium
Lineage: Bacteria
Description: partial 16S ribosomal RNA
Rfam family: Bacterial small subunit ribosomal RNA
Source: RNAcentral